GGGUGAGUAACACGUAUGCAACCUGCCCCUGUCAGGGGGACAACCCGCCGAAAGGCGGGCUAAACCCGCGUACAUGCCACCGGGGCAUCCCGGAGGCAGGAAAGGCUUCGGCCGGACAGGGAUGGGCAUGCGGCGCAUUAGGCAGUAGGCGGGGUAACGGCCCACCUAACCGACGAUGCGUAGGGGUUCUGAGAGGAAGGUCCCCCACACUGGUACUGAGACACGAACCAGACUCCUACGGGAGGCAGCAGUGAGGAAUAUUGGUCAAUGGUCGGGAGACUGAACCAGCCAAGCCGCGUGAGGGAUGAAGGUACAGAGUAUCGUAAACCUCUUUUGUCGGGGAACAAAGGCGGGGACGUGUCCCCGGAUGAGUGUACCUGAAGAAAAAGCAUCGGCUAACUCCGUGCCAGCAGCCGCGGUAAUACGGAGGAUGCGAGCGUUAUCCGGAUUUAUUGGGUUUAAAGGGUGCGCAGGCGGUCUGUUAAGUCAGCGGUCAAAGCCCGGGGCUCAACCCCGGCCCGCCGUUGAAACUGGCAGUCUCGAGUUGGAGAGAAGUAUGCGGAAUGCGCGGUGUAGCGGUGAAAUGCAUAGAUAUCGCGCAGAACUCCGAUUGCGAAGGCAGCAUGCCGGCUCCACACUGACGCUGAGGCACGAAAGCGUGGGUAUCGAACAGGAUUAGAUACCCUGGUAGUCCACGCAGUAAACGAUG
Molecule: ribosomal RNA, 709 nt
Filed under: uncultured bacterium
Lineage: Bacteria
Description: bacterial SSU rRNA
Rfam family: Bacterial small subunit ribosomal RNA
Source: RNAcentral